UACUCAUUGGAUGUGCGUUCU
This 21-nucleotide non-coding RNA is filed under the name Caenorhabditis elegans. The record is from RNAcentral. Lineage: Eukaryota; Metazoa; Nematoda; Chromadorea; Rhabditida; Rhabditidae.